This 491-nucleotide ribosomal RNA is filed under the name uncultured bacterium. RNAcentral describes it as "bacterial SSU rRNA". It matches the Rfam family "Bacterial small subunit ribosomal RNA", at positions 10 to 518 of the family's 1533-position model. The record is from RNAcentral.
AGUUGAUCAUGGCUCAGGACGACGCUGGCGGCACGCCUAACACAUGCAAGUCGAACGGAGAUUUGAGAGCUUGCUCUUAAAUCUUAGUGGCGGACGGGUGAGUAACACGUGAGCAACCUGCCUCUGAGAGAGGGAUAGCUUCUGGAAACGGAUGGUAAUACCUCAUAACAUAGCUGGACCGCAUGAUCCGGUUAUCAAAGAUUUAUCACUCAGAGAUGGGCUCGCGUCUGAUUAGCUAGUUGGUGAGGUAACGGCCCACCAAGGCGACGAUCAGUAGCCGGACUGAGAGGUUGAACGGCCACAUUGGGACUGAGACACGGCCCAGACUCCUACGGGAGGCAGCAGUGAGGGAUAUUGCACAAUGGAGGAAACUCUGAUGCAGCGAUGCCGCGUGGAGGAAGAAGGUUUUCGGAUUGUAAACUCCUGUUUCGAGGGACGAUAAUGACGGUACCUCGGGAGGAAGCUCCGGCUAACUACGUGCCAGCCGCCGC